UGGCGGCAGGCCUAACACAUGCAAGUCGAGCGGCAGCACAGCAGUAGCAAUACUGUGGGUGGCGAGCGGCGGACGGGUGAGGAAUGCAUCGGAAUCUGCCUCGUUGUGGGGGAUAACGUAGGGAAACUUACGCUAAUACCGCAUACGACCUACGGGUGAAAGUGGGGGACCGCAAGGCCUCACGCGAUGAGAUGAGCCGAUGCCGGAUUAGCUAGUUGGCGGGGUAAAGGCCCACCAAGGCGACGAUCCGUAGCUGGUCUGAGAGGAUGAUCAGCCACACUGGAACUGAGACACGGUCCAGACUCCUACGGGAGGCAGCAGUGGGGAAUAUUGGACAAUGGGGGCAACCCUGAUCCAGCCAUGCCGCGUGUGUGAAGAAGGCCUUCGGGUUGUAAAGCACUUUUGUUGGGGAAGAAACCGGCCGGAUUAAUACUCCGGUUGAAUGACGGUACCCAAAGAAUAAGCACCGGCUAACUUCGUGCCAGCAGCCGCGGUAAUACGAAGGGGGCUAGCGUUGCUCGGAAUUACUGGGCGUAAAGCGUGCGUAGGCGGUUGAUUAA
This 560-nucleotide ribosomal RNA is filed under the name uncultured bacterium. Its description in RNAcentral is "bacterial SSU rRNA". It matches the Rfam family "Bacterial small subunit ribosomal RNA", at positions 37 to 586 of the family's 1533-position model. The record is from RNAcentral.